GUGAGGGUGACCGAGCGUGGGAAGGAAGCGUGGAGCGUAAACCGUGAGUCGAGGUACACAAACCGCAUCUGAGGCGCUGCCAAGCAGGGCGAGUGGGCA
Variovorax paradoxus is the source of this 99-nucleotide non-coding RNA. Lineage: Bacteria; Pseudomonadati; Pseudomonadota; Betaproteobacteria; Burkholderiales; Comamonadaceae. The record is from Rfam.